GCAUGCCUCUAACCAAGAUCUUGGAGUGCCACAAAACCCAUUGUGCACAAUUCCAAGAGGUUAAUUUCGGUCAUGCCAGAGCAAAAGAAUGAUUGGGUGUCCAUAUAACUUUUCAUAGUUACAUUUGGCCAAUAAUCAUUUGGACAG
This 147-nucleotide small nucleolar RNA is filed under the name Drosophila persimilis. Its description in RNAcentral is "snoRNA:GL28036". The record is from RNAcentral. Lineage: Eukaryota; Metazoa; Arthropoda; Insecta; Diptera; Drosophilidae.